RNAcentral lists this ribosomal RNA (497 nucleotides) under Septoria sp. KACC 42524. RNAcentral describes it as "eukaryotic LSU rRNA". The stretch from base 157 to 310 matches the Rfam family "5.8S ribosomal RNA". Lineage: Eukaryota; Fungi; Ascomycota; Dothideomycetes; Mycosphaerellales; Mycosphaerellaceae. The record is from RNAcentral.
GGGAUCAUUACUGAGUGAGGGCCUUCGGGCUCGACCUCCAACCCUUUGUGAACACAACUUGUUGCUUCGGGGGCGACCCUGCCGUUUCGACGGCGAGCGCCCCCGGAGACCAUCAAACACUGCAUCUUUGCGUCGGAGUUUAAGUAAAUUAAACAAACCUUUCAACAACGGAUCUCUUGGUUCUGGCAUCGAUGAAGAACGCAGCGAAAUGCGAUAAGUAAUGUGAAUUGCAGAAUUCAGUGAAUCAUCGAAUCUUUGAACGCACAUUGCGCCCUUUGGUAUUCCGAAGGGCAUGCCUGUUCGAGCGUCAUUUCACCACUCAAGCCUGGCUUGGUAUUGGGCGCCGCGGUCAAUCCGCGCGCCUCAAAGUCUCCGGCUGAGCUGUCCGUCUCUAAGCGUUGUGAUUUCAUUAAUCGCUUCGGAGUGCGGGCGGCCGCGGCCGUUAAAUCUUUCACAAGGUUGACCUCGGAUCAGGUAGGGAUACCCGCUGAACUUAA